This 494-nucleotide ribosomal RNA is filed under the name uncultured bacterium. RNAcentral describes it as "partial 16S ribosomal RNA". It matches the Rfam family "Bacterial small subunit ribosomal RNA", at positions 28 to 507 of the family's 1533-position model. The record is from RNAcentral.
GACGAACGCUGGCGGCGUGCUUAACACAUGCAAGUCGAACGGUGAAUCGCCUUCCUUUUUGGUGGGUGUUGAUGAGUGGCGAACGGGUGAGUAACACGUGAGUAACCUGCCCCCUUCUUCUGGAUAACUGCAUGAAAGUGUGGCUAAUACGGGAUAUUCUGGGUCUGUCGCAUGAUGGGUCUGGGAAAGAUAUUGUUGCGGUGGGGGAUGGGCUCGCGGCCUAUCAGCUUGUUGGUGGGGUGAUGGCCUACCAAGGCGGUGACGGGUAGCCGGCGUGCGAGGGUGGACGGUGACACGGGGACUGGGACAGGGCCCAGGCGCCUACGGGAGGCAGCAGUGGGGAAUAUGGCACAGUGGGGGCAAGCCUGAUGCAGCGACGCCGCGUGAGGGAUGGCGGCGUUGGGGUUGGGAAGCACUUUCGCGAGUGAAGCAGGCCUUCCUCGUUUGUGGGUGGGUUGACGGUAGCUGGAUAAGAAGCGCCGGCUAACUACGUG